GUAAAGACAAUACUAUGCAGUUCCCCUCAGCUCUACAGAACAUUUUAGCAUCUUUCAGCUCAUUGCUUUGGUUUUACAGCCCACGACUUUACUGUUUGUGGGCCAUUUAAGG
Long non-coding RNA from Etheostoma spectabile (orangethroat darter), 112 nucleotides. RefSeq lists it as uncharacterized. The transcript is spliced from 4 exons. NCBI's taxonomy places the organism in Eukaryota, Metazoa, Chordata, Actinopteri, Perciformes, Percidae. The record is from RefSeq and is a predicted model, not a curated record.